UACGUAGGGGGCGAGCGUUAUCCGGAUUUACUGGGUGUAAAGGGAGCGUAGACGGCGUCGCAAGUCUGAAGUGAAAGCCCGUGGCUCAACCGCGGAAUCGCUUUGGAAACUGCGAGGCUGGAGUGCUGGAGAGGCAAUCGGAAUUCCGUGUGUAGCGGUGAAAUGCGUAGAUAUACGGAGGAACACCAGUGGCGAAGGCGGAUUGCUGGACAGUAACUGACGCUGAGGCGCGAAAGCGUGGGGAGCAAACAGG
This 253-nucleotide ribosomal RNA is filed under the name uncultured Lachnospiraceae bacterium. Its description in RNAcentral is "partial 16S ribosomal RNA". It matches the Rfam family "Bacterial small subunit ribosomal RNA", at positions 524 to 776 of the family's 1533-position model. Lineage: Bacteria; Bacillati; Bacillota; Clostridia; Lachnospirales; Lachnospiraceae. The record is from RNAcentral.